This is a non-coding RNA of Malus domestica (apple), 1330 nucleotides long. The record is from RefSeq and is a predicted model, not a curated record. Lineage: Eukaryota; Viridiplantae; Streptophyta; Magnoliopsida; Rosales; Rosaceae.
GUCUUUACUAUAAUGCUAUCCUGUGACUUAGUGCGGGUUGUAAACGUCGUGAUAUUAGGAUCAGGAUCCUCUUCUGAGCAGAUGAAGAGGAUUCUCUGACUAGGCUUAUCGGGCAGUUCAUUUUUUAUUCAACGGUUAUAAUUAUUAUAAUUUUUAGAUAGGCUUUCUUUUUAUAACCGUUGGAUAAAAAAUGAACGGUCUGAUAGGCCCUGGUAAGGAGGAUCCUCUCCAUCUGCUCAGGAGAGGAUCCUGGAUCAGACAAGUGUCACACAUCUUUUCCCCAUCACAAAGUUCCUAGGGUUGCUGGCUUCUGGAAUGAUAGCCACCAUGUCCUCUGAAAGACGACACUCAUGUAAGAGCAAGAGGCGAUCGAGCUACUGACAAAUUAUAGUCACAAUCUAGCUGAAAUUCAAAACCGCUUGGCUGAAAGGGUUUUUGAGAGAUGAGUUUUUCUCCGUCUUCCUCUUUGGUCAUCAAAGGACUUUCUUUUCGCAGGCCCACUUCAAAUCGAAUAGAUGGAAGCUACCAACCCCAUCUCUUGGAAACUUCCAUCUAUUCGGUUUGAAUUCCAGGACAAGAAAAAGCAGAUUUCAAAGGAAAAGCAAAGGAUUUUACACCCACUGCUGCGAAGGUACAUACAAUGUGAUGUUAAAUUUACCCAAUUGUUCGAUUUGGAUAUAGUUCAGAGUUUCUGGGUUUUUGACUUGGUUAAAGUAGUGAUCUUUGUGUCCGUACAGUUGCAGUGGGGAAUGAAAAUUGUCUUGUUAAUUUGUUGCACAGCAAGAUAUUGGCAUAUGCAUGAAGGUUGAUGGUAUUUGUAUGGUUUAGACACACCCACAUGGUUUCGUUAUGUUGUGUGUGCAAUGCAUAAACUCAGUUAGCAGAUUAAAUUAAAACUGAAGAGUUAUGAAAUUUGAGAUGCAUAGCGGCCUAAGUCCACAAAUAAGUUGCCGCACUAAUUCAAUAAAGUUCCAUAACCCUUACUUAAGGCUGAUAAUCCUUGAAUCUCAAAUAGUAUAUCACCAUGUAUGGCCGAUAAGUCAUAUUUGAAGAUUACCACAUAAUCUAUAACCUAAAAAGUUAGAUCCACAGUCCAAACAAAAUUACUAGAAGAUAAAUUUGAUAGUUCAUCACCAGGCUGUUGUACAGUACAUGGCAGAUUAUGAGGCCAAGAAAGAAAUUACAUCGUUUCAAGCACUGAAAUGAAAAACUAUUGCAGUGAGAAAUAAGCAGAUUUUUCUUUGUUAGUGUUAGAUUUAUGCAUAAUAUUUUAGAUUUUGUAAGGAAGAAGAAUUGGAAUUGAAACUUUGGCUUUUGGAUUUUCUGGGAA